This 108-nucleotide microRNA precursor is filed under the name Ovis aries (sheep). Its description in RNAcentral is "miRNA (ENSOARG00000023861.1)". The stretch from base 14 to 97 matches the Rfam family "mir-764 microRNA precursor family". The record is from RNAcentral. Lineage: Eukaryota; Metazoa; Chordata; Mammalia; Artiodactyla; Bovidae.
AAUUCCAAUCCAAAAUCUAGGAGGCAGGUGCUCACUCGUCCUCCUCCAUGGUUAAAAAUACAGGGAGGAGGCCAGAGUGGCAACUGUCACUAUGAUUGUUUUCGUUGG